This 669-nucleotide ribosomal RNA is filed under the name uncultured archaeon. Its description in RNAcentral is "bacterial SSU rRNA". It matches the Rfam family "Archaeal small subunit ribosomal RNA", at positions 187 to 870 of the family's 1478-position model. The record is from RNAcentral.
AAUAUAUUUCCGAAGAUGGACUCGAAUUACUACUUGUUGGUGAAGUAUGGCCCACCAAGUCUAUUCAGCUACGGGCUCUGAGAUGAUUAGCCCGGAGAUGGUACUUGAGACAUGGACGCAGGCCAUAUGGGGCGCAGCAGUCGAGAAACUUUGCAAUGCGCGAAAGUUCGACAAGUUUAAUCUGAGUGGUUCCUGCUAAAGGAACCUUUUGUUAGUCGUAGAACCACUGAUGAAUAAGGGGUGGGCAAGUUCUGGUGUCAGCCGCCGCGGUAAUACCAGCACCUCAAGUGGUCAGGAUGAUUAUUGGGCCUAAAGCAUCCGUAGCCUGUUCUGUAAGUUUUCGGUUAAAUCCAUAAGCUCAACUUAUGGGCUGCCGAAAAUACUGCAGAACUAGGGAGUGGGAGAGGUAGACGGUACUCGGUAGGAAGGGGUAAAAUCCUUUGAUCUAUUGAUGACCACCUGUGGCGAAGUCGGUCUACCAGAACACGUUCGACGGUGAGGGAUGAAAGCUGGGGGAGCAAACCGGAUUAGAUACCCGGGUAGUCCCAGCUGUAAACGAUGCAAACUCGAUGAUGCGUUGGCUUGUUGCUAGCGCAGUGCCGCAGGGAAGCCGUUAAGUUUGCCGCCUGGGAAGUACGUACGCAAGUAUGAAACUCAAAUGAAUUGCGG